RNAcentral lists this long non-coding RNA (933 nucleotides) under Marmota monax (woodchuck). The record is from RNAcentral. Lineage: Eukaryota; Metazoa; Chordata; Mammalia; Rodentia; Sciuridae.
CACCAGACCAGACAUUUCUGACCCCAGGUAAAUUAUGUCACUGAGAAAUCCAGUGAUAGCUGACAAGGGUUGACAGGGGGGUCAAAAGCCUGAAAAUUUAGUAUAAAUAAUAGAGCUGAUGAACAGGGAUUCAGCCAGCCAAAACCAGGAUGCACUCGGGCUGGAGAGCCUGCUGAGGACCUGACGUCCCAUCACUGUCAUCAUUUCCCGAGCCUCCGCCUGAUCCUCACCACUUUCACAUUCUACAGUCUCAUCUGGACCUUGGUGAGAGCUGCAACUCCUCCCUACGACCCCCUCCUCAACUGGGCGUCCACUCCACACCAGGAGAAGCCUGCCUUGGUUCCAGACCUGGUCACCGUGGUCUGAGUGAGUGUGCAUCUGCAGGAUACAAAACCUAAGGCUGAAGACUUUUGAGCUUAGCACGCAGAGGGAAUGUCUGUUGUUGAGAGCCACAGUUUAGUCGGACGUCGCCUGGCAUUUUUGCCAGAGGGAAUGGUUAAAAGGUGACCCUGCUCAGGAAGAGGGCAGCUCAGGGAUGAGGGCGGAUCUUGCUGCCUGGCUACUUUGGAACUCCUGUCGCCCGCUACUUUGCAGUUCCCCUUGAGUUCUUGCAGGGUUCUGGGAGAAUUGGCACACAGAGCCCGGUGGAGUGUGUGUGUUCCCGGGAAGUAUGUGUAGAGUGCCGGUGAGAGUUCGGGAAUAAAGGGUUGCUGUUUGAACCUACAAGACUUUGUGGCGGCUCGGUUAUUUUGUGCCCAGCCAGACUGCGGCAGUCUGUUAUGAGCUGUCAUGAUUAAGUGUGUUUGCAGUGCUUACAAUUAAUCUAGAAUUGUUUGCUGUGAAUUGAUUAUGUCUAUUGCCAUGCCCAGAGUUAAGGAUUGCUGUUUUCUUGAUUAAGAACCUAUAGUGUGAAAUUGUAUGGAGUGAAUAAAG